Camellia sinensis is the source of this 4201-nucleotide non-coding RNA. The record is from RefSeq and is a predicted model, not a curated record. Lineage: Eukaryota; Viridiplantae; Streptophyta; Magnoliopsida; Ericales; Theaceae.
CCGACAAAAGAGAUAAAAAAAAACCCUAGUAAACUUUUCUUAACACAGUAGAAUUUGGGAAUCGAAUUUUCCCUCCAAAAUCCAACACCAUCCUUCGAAUCUCCCCUUCUUUUCCCGCCACUCAACUUCUUAAACCCUAAACCUACCUCUCUCUCUCUCUUCACUGCGCAUUUCACCUAAAAAGCUUGAUAAAUCUGUCUUUUUAUAGAUGCAUAGUUAUUUGUUACUUCCGAUUGUGAUAAAAUAGCUUAUUUAUUGGGGGGUUUGAGUUUGAAUUUGAAUUUUGAUGUCGGAUGAGUUAAAAAUGGGGUCGCUGGGAGACCAUGACGAUGAGAUCCAACCAGUUAAGCGGAAUUCGGUUCUUGAUGGUGGCGGCGGCGACACCGAGACUCAACUCUUUGGCAGUCAGUUUUCUUUGCCUCCAGUGCCUGGUAAUAAAUUGAAGGACAAGGACUUUAAUGAGUUACAGUUUCUACAAAGUACAUUGCCGUUUAUUGGUACCGUUCCACUUGAAGAUGCAUUUGAGACCCAAGUCACGAGUCUUGCUGGUGAAACUCAAGUAUUGGAUAAUCAUUAUGAUGCUGAGAACAUGGACACCCAGUUGUUAGAUGAGUGUGAUGAUGAAGUUGUUGAUACUGAUGACGGAGGAACAGACAGAACAGAAGUUUUGGGUGAUACUGAAGAGUUGUUUGAUGAUGAUUCUGUAAACAUAGUUGGUAGUUAUCCAAUGAACCAAGAGAAUAAGCUCUAUUCCAUUAUUUCAAAACAAGACGAUAAGGGUUGUAAAGGAGAAUUAGAUGGGUUGAUUAAUGAACAACGGAGUUCAGGAUCCAUAAGAAGGAAUUUCACUUCAGUCCGUGCAGCAGCUUUACGGGCCUCAGGUUUAGCAGCUCGUAACAUGGCUUUUAAGGGAACCAACAAUGAGCCAUGUUCCAUUAAGGGUGAUGAUCAGUCUUUAAAACAACAUACUGCUGAGGAUAAUGGGAUGACUGAUAUCAGAGAUUCAUUGGCAUUUGGAAAGGAAAUUGAUGAGGAUUUUCCAAGGGAGUACAAUGAGCAAAUGAAGGGAUUAAAGAAUCAAAACAAGUGCAGGGUUGGUAGUUCAACAGUGAGAAGGCUUUUUGCGGAUGAUACACUUGCUGAGAUUGAAGGACUGAAUAACUACACAAAUAAUGCUGGUGGAGGAGUUGACUUGCCUCAGUUGACCGAUUGUGGCAAUGAGAUGGCUGGGUUGAGCUAUGUCGACUCUCAAGAACCUGGAGAGUUGUCGCAAGCCAAUGCACUAGACUUUGUGGACAGGUUUCUUAAAUUCAAUGACAUGGAUUUUGGUAAAAAAGUUGACAUAGUAAGGUCCACUGGGGGAAAAGUAAAACCCAUUUCAAGUGCAAAAGGCACCCAAAGUUUGGCCAAAAGAACUAAUUUUAAAAGUACAGCGGGAGGAAGAGGGAUUUUUGAUUGGGAUGAUAACCGUGAAGAUGAAGGAGGGGGAGAGUUCUUCACCAAGAAAAAGGAAGCAUUCUUUGAUAAUGGAAGACAGAGGCAUAGAUCUCUUACCCAACCUCGUAAGCUCAAGCAUCUUGACUCCAAAGGAACUGGUGCUGUAGAUGAAACUAGAGACAAGGAAGAACGACUAGAAAUCCAUCGAAAGACAAAGGAUUUAGCGAAUUCCGAUUCACGGUUAGUGUUGCAUAAUUCGAAAAGGAAUUACAAGACAGUGAAGCUAACAGAAGCAAAAUCUAAAAAGGACCUUACCAAGGAAAUGGAUGAACAGCUGAAGAUUGGUUCCUCAGAUGGAAUCGAAGCUACUGGUUCUGACAUGGAUACGUCGGAGAUGCUGAAUGUGGGGGUUGAUACUCAAAUGGCUGCGGAAGCAAUGCAAGAACUAUGCUUUGGUUUGGACGUGGCUGACCAUGACAACAAAGACACUAAUCAAGGUACCAAAAAUACGUGUGAAGGUUCUUCCAGAGGAGAAGAACAGAAUAGGUCAUGGUCUAAGAAAUAUUCUCGACAGAAGAGAUCAAGUUUGUCUGGUUCUAGAGUUUUAACAAGAAAUUCAAAGCAAACUAAGAUUAUUGGUACCAAAUUGAGUGGCGAACCAACUCUUUCAUCAUUGAAACAGGCUAAGAAUGUGAGGAAGGAAAGUGAUAUUGAGUUAGUGGCAAAACCAAAGAAGGCCAAGUCAAAUGAUGGAGUACACUUAACCACCAAUUUGAUUGAAAAUGCAGACAAAGUAUCUCCUGAAGUUAAUGAGCAAAUAAAAGAAGUAAGAGCUCCGAAAAGAAGUAACAUUGAUGAGGUUGGCAGAUGCCUUGCCAAUGCAUCAUCAAGUGGGCGUAUAUCAGUCAAGAAACGCCGGUUGGAAGAACAAGGUGGUUUUUGUACACCCAUAGCUUGUCGAACUAGGCAGCAGCACAGGGUAAAAUAUAAAUUAAGGGCUGGGAUUGCGUCAUAUGAUUCUAGAGAAGGGAAACAUCUGAAUGACAGAAGACAAGAGGGCAUUACGGAGAAGGAGAAAUCACAUCAAAAGUUGAUUGAUACGAUUGCUGCUGUUAGAAUUGGUGAAUUGAGAAACAACAGAGGAAGAAGAACUCAGCGAAAACUGUCAGGUCCUUUAAAUGGAAGCUGCAACCUUCAUAAAUCAAUCAAUCAAUUUGUUGGGAAGGAGACUAAUGGACAAUCUCUUGGAAAAUCAAACAAAUCAAAGACCAAUGCUGUGAGUCCUUCCAUGGAUCUAGGCAUGAAGAGGAAAACAAAAAGGAGACAGAGUGAUGCAGAUACCAUGUCAGCUGGUGAACAUGCUGGAGGAAAUGCCAGAUUAGAAGUGUCACCAGGAGACAGAUGCAAACCAUCUGGUCCAGCAUCGACUACUCCUGUUAAUUGUACCACUCCUAUAAAUGCUGCAUCACCUAUUUGUAUGGGUGCAGAUUAUCUCAAACAGUCAUGCAGGAAGAAUUUGUCAAAAUCAUUCCUUAUUAAAGAAAUCAAUAGCUUAAUCUCCAAGGGACCAGAGCCUAUUUCCCCAACCAAAGACUCAAGGAGGAGAAGAGAUAUGGCUAAUGUCUGUGUCUUGUUUAGUCACCACUUGGAUGAUGAUUUAAUCAAGCAGCAAAAGAAGAUUUUGGCCCGGCUAGGAGCUUCAGUGGCACCCUCUAUUUCAGAAGCCACACAUUUUGUAACGGAUAAAUUUGUCCGAACAAGGAAUAUGUUAGAAGCUAUUGCUUUUGGCAAACCUGUGGUGACACGUUCAUGGCUCGAAAGCUGUAGACAAGCUAGCUGUUUCAUUGAUGAGAGGAAUUACAUAUUGAGAGAUGCCAAAAAGGAAAAGGAGUUUGGGUUUAGCUUGCCGGUUUCAUUGGCACGUGCAUGCCAACAUCCACUUUUACAGGGGCUAAAAGUUUUGAUUACUCCAAAUACAAAGCCUGGUAAAGAAAUAUUGGUGAGCUUGGUUAAGGCAGUCCAUGGCCUGGCGGUGGAGAGAAUUGGUCGAUCAGCAUUCAAGGACGAUAAAAUUUCAGAAGGCCUGUUGGUUUUAUCUUGUGAGGAAGAUUAUGCUAUCUGUGUGCCUUUUCUUGAGAAAGGUGCAGCAGUUUACAGUUCAGAGUUGCUACUGAAUGGAAUAGUGAUUCAGAAGCUAGAAUAUGAAAGGUGUGUGUGCGUGUAUAAGAUAUCAAUUUUUUUCUUUGCCACUGGCUAGAGGAUGAAAUGAUCUUAAAAAAUCCUUUUCCUAGUGCUAAGAAUGCACAGACAACACAUACAUGCGGAUACUGAAAUCUUCAAACAAUACAUCGUCUCUUUGUAGAUCAUGUCAGGAGAACCCGUUCUACAGUACGAUUGAAACAAGACAGUAAUCACUAUCUGCCUGUCACUAACCACAAAUAAGAUUGCUCCCUCUUCCUUCCUUUUAUGUAUUCUGUUCAUCUCUCAAGGGCUUGUCUUCUGCAUAUUGUAAAGAAAGCUUCAAUGUUUAUAUUCUUUGCAGAUUUAUCCACAUGAUUUUGUUUUUGUUUUAUGUAAUUUUAUUUUUUGGUUUCUUGGAGCUUGCUUAACUACUUAUCUCGCUCCGGUCACCAACAUGCACAUUAGAAAAUUUCCACCACAGUUCAGGUUUCCUUCCAGUUUGAAAACGAAAAUGAUACUAAAAAUGCGGUUUUCUCAAUUAUUGAAGGUAUGAACCUACUUGAAAGAAAAAGGGGUUUUUAUA